This 205-nucleotide ribosomal RNA is filed under the name Clostridioides difficile. RNAcentral describes it as "partial 23S ribosomal RNA". It matches the Rfam family "Bacterial large subunit ribosomal RNA", at positions 58 to 263 of the family's 2925-position model. The record is from RNAcentral. Lineage: Bacteria; Bacillati; Bacillota; Clostridia; Peptostreptococcales; Peptostreptococcaceae.
GUGAUAAGCUGCGAUAAGCUUCGGGGAGUUGCACGUAAACUUUGAUCCGAAGAUUUCCGAAUGAGGAAACUCACUUAGAGUAAUGUCUAAGUAUCAUUAAGUAAAUACAUAGCUUAAUGAGGGGAACUCAGGGAACUGAAACAUCUAAGUACCUGAAGGAAGAGAAAGAAAUUCGAUUCCGUAAGUAGCGGCGAGCGAACGCGGA